RNAcentral lists this long non-coding RNA (3273 nucleotides) under Homo sapiens (human). Its description in RNAcentral is "non-protein coding CASC2:5". The record is from RNAcentral. Lineage: Eukaryota; Metazoa; Chordata; Mammalia; Primates; Hominidae.
AGCGGGCUGCAGGGCUGCGGGCGCUUGGUUCGGCCUGGCCCGGCCGGCGGCUCCUAACACCGGGCGGGCGGCUGCGGCGGCACUUCCGGGUUGGCCUUCUCCAUGUUGGUCUCGGGAACGUGAAGGGGCGGGGCCUCGAGGUCAGGGGUCAGCACCUCCCUGGUUGCCGUGGCGACUGGAGGCGCGCGACGCGGGCGCAAUGGCGGGGACCCGGGGCUUGAUGCUGCUUGGGCCUGGCCCAGUGGCGGGUCCUAGGGACGUGGGUACCUGCAGAGGCCGGCAGAUGGAGAUUCAGAAACAUAAGGACAACAAGAAACUUCCCCAAGGUAUCAUUAUAGUCUUUAGACUUCAGACACACACCACACCUCAAAUAUAUACACAACUGAAAGGAAAAUUAAGGAAGUUUUUCAAAGAACCCUAUUCCGAGUAAGAAGUGUGUUGCAUGAAUUUCUAAGAGCCAGAAAAUGCAUGACACAGGAGAAGAUGUACCCUCAUCUGUUCAGUGAGAGAUGUGCAAAUCAACAUCAACACAGAACUGCUGAAGAAAAAAAAUAUGUCUCUGAAAAGCAACUUAUUCACUGGAGAUGUGAGGAGCCAUCCGCACAUCACAAUUCUAUAGACAUCAAACGCAUGAAGCAUUUCGGAUCUGCUUUAAGACUGAGGCAGACUUUCCAUCUGGACACAGCCGACCAUCCAUGUGUCAUUACAAUGAAUCCAGCACUUCCCUGGAAGCUGGAAGGGUCAAAUUCAACUUCAACUCUGCCACUUCCUGCUUAACUUGCUGUUUAACCUUGGGCAAGCUGCCAUCCCACACGAGGCCGAAGGUGUCGGUUUUUAAAAUACAGAAAUUUGGUUCCAUGAGGGAUUAUCAAUAUACUGCUGGUGGGCCAAAUUCCAUCUGCUACUUGCCUUUGUAAAUAAAGUUUUAUUGAAACACAAACAUGCCCAUUAGUUUACUCUUGUCUGUGACUACAAGGGCAAAGUUGAAUAGUUGUUACAGAGACCAUCAGGCUCACAAAGCCUAGGUUAUUUACUAUCUGCCCAUUUACAGAGUAAGUUUGCCAGCCCUGGACUGGAUAAUUUUUUGAGUUCUUUCUAAUUCUAGAAUUCUUUAUAUAUUUUAUGAAACCCCUAAUGUUUAUAUAUUAAUUAUUUCAAUACCCGUGUCUUUACUGAGUCCCUCCUAUGAAGCAUACAUCAAGACAUAUGUGUGAUACAUUAACUAAACUUUUAACAGUAUCUUAAAUAGGAUUUCAAUGACUAACAGCUCUUGGAAAUAUCCAAGGUAACAUUUGGGGGCAAAUGUCUUAUGAUUUGAUUAUCAUUGGUAAAUAGAGCAUAUCUUUUUUUCCACUAACAAUGUUUAAGAAGUUAAAAAAAAAUCAAGAAAACCCCGUAUGGCACUAGAGACUUAUUGCAUUAAGACAUCAUCUUAACAGAUUGUUUAGUUUUGGUAAUAUAAUUUGACAUCUAAACAUAAGCUGAGAGGGAUCUCCCUCAAAACCUUUGAUAAUAUGAUUCAUUGUCAAAUGUUUGUUUUGCCUAUCUGGCACUCAUUAAUUAAUUCUUUUUAAUAUAGCUUGGAUUUACUGAUUUUGAAAAAGAGAAUUAUUCUUAUUGAUGUUGCUAAAAUAUCCAGGUGGCUUGAAUUUCACCAACUAGAUAGUUUAAUCUAGCACAUUUGUGUAGCCCUAAUCAAAUCUUUACUAACAGAUGUGAGAAGCCCAGUACUGGAGCUAAUGUUUGUGUCUCAAUGAUAAUUAAAUUAGCUUAAUAAGGAAAAUAAAUGAACAAUAAUCACCAAAAUUUUUCCCUAAACCUGUGUUAUAGUCUUAAAAACAUUUUUUCCCCUAUGGAGGCUUUUGGUAAUAAAACACAAAUUGAGGGAUUUUAAUUAAAAGAAAUUUUUUUUUCAAGAACUGGUCAUGUACUAAAUUGCUUAUAAUCAAAUAAUCAAGUAGCAUUUCUUUUAUUAUAAGAGCAAAACCUAUAAUUAAGCCAAAAUUCAAAUUUGUUUUUAAAGGUUGAAUAAUCUUUUGUUUUGGCCAAUAGUAUGUGGAUUUUUUUUUUAAGUAUUAUCUCUUUGUAGUAUUUUCUAAUGGAUAGGAAAUGCCUUUCUCAGGUUGAAUGAUUAUUUCCACAUAGAAUUAGUUCCUGCUUACAACAGUGCUCCACUAAUGUAAUGGCUCGGUGAAUUGGCUUUAUAAUUCAUUAAUCAUAGCUCACAUUGAGCUUUUGGCUCCAGGUGACAGUGCCCACCACAGGCCAAAUAACUUCUCAUUUAAAGGCAAUUUGUACAAAUAGGGAAGGUGAGAAUUCUCACAGUCCCAGAGGGAUUGAAGAGUUUUAAAAAACCAAGAUAAGGCAUUUUAUGGAAGACAGGUUGAUGGAAGAAAAGUGGCCAUUGGAGGAUGAGGCAGAUGGCUUUCCAGGGAGGCCCUGGAGCUGCCACCAUGGGGAAGGCCAUGUUGCAGCUGCUGAUCAGAGCACAUUGGACGGUGUUUCCGUGUGAACAUGAAGACAAUGCUGCCUCUGUUUCUGUGACGCUGUGCUCUGAUCUUGCUGGAGGCGAAGUGGUGUCAGCUGUGCUUACAGGACAGUCAGUGGUGGUAGAAAAGAGGCCAGUGUGACCUGUGAAGGACUGGGCCCCUCUCACUCAACCUGAGUGCCUGCAGUUGUGGCCACCUUUAUUUGUGUAUUCUACUGUAUUUAUUUAUUUGCCUGGCUAAUUAGCUCUGUGCCACAUUCCUAAGCUAGAUGUGUCCCUUCAUGUAAGUGAGAGGGAGACAGAAAGAAAGACUGAGGUGGGGGGUAGGAGAAAGAGAGGAAAGCAAGCAAGAAGAAAGAGAAAGAGAGAAGAAGAAAGGAAGAGGAAAGAAAGAGAGAAAGAGAAAGAGAAGGAAGGAAGGAGAAAGAGAAGGAAAGAAGGAGCCUUCUAAUUUUAUUUCAUUUCUCCAAUAAAUGUUCCUAUAUUAAGACUUUAGACAAAGAUUAGAAAUAUGAUUUGACAGAAAGUGUAUGGAUGUGUUGUUCUAUUGCAUUGUAAGUAAAGUAUCCAUGGCAAUAUACAAAUAAUACAGCUCCUACCCCUAUUCUCUGUUGUUACUUUCAUGUGUUGUCUUAACUUUUUAAAUUUCAAGAUAAUAUUGCGCUUAUUUAUUUUUCCAUGAGGAGGCCUAGGAUUUAGCUUGAUUAGAAAAGCUGUGGAAAAUGAAUGUGCUAAUUACUUUAAAUCAAAUUGAAAAUAAAUUUUAUCCUGUUUCAUGCAAAACA